Molecule: long non-coding RNA, 2513 nt
Filed under: Vigna radiata
Lineage: Eukaryota; Viridiplantae; Streptophyta; Magnoliopsida; Fabales; Fabaceae
Description: long non-coding RNA (VRAD_LNC015774)
Source: RNAcentral
CCAUAUUGGCCCAUAAGCCCAGUUUCGCCUGGCACACUAAGCCCAGUUUCUACACUGGUCCCCAAAGCCCAAUCUCCAUAUUGGCCCAUAAGCCCAGUUUCGCCUGGCACACUAAGCCCAGUUUCUACACUGGCCCCCAAAGCCCAAUUUCCAUAUUGGCCCAUAAGCCAGUUUCGCCUGGCCCCCAAAGCCCAGUUUUUACACUGGCCCCCAAAGCCUAAUUUUCAUAUUGGCCCAUAAGCCCAGUUUCGCCUGGCCCACUAAGCCCAGUUUCUACACUGGUCCCCAAAGCCCAAUCUCCAUAUUGACCCAUAGGCCCAGUUUCGUCUGGCUCCUAAGCCCAGUUUCCACACUGGCCCACAAGCCCAGCUCACCUGGCACCCUAAGCUCAAGUUUUUCUUGUGUUAUCAACCCUAACUCGAGUUUUUAUUCUUUCUCUUUCUCUUUUGAAAUCCGGACGAAAUUACUGUUUCUAUCUUUACUUAGCUUUUUUACUUUGAUAAUACGAAAAUAUCAAAUUUUCAUAUUAUCCAGUAAUAUCUAAGUAAAGAGGGGCAGCUGUCAACACCCAAUUUCGUCCGGAAUAAAUAAUAUAUGUUUUUUUUUACUUUAUCUUAUUCUAUGUUACUUUGUUUAUCUUAUGUCUUUUUAUUCGUUUUAAUUUUGCUUUUAUUAUUAUCUUAUUUCGUUUUACAUUAUUUAGUUUAAUUUUGUUUUAUUUUAUUUUUAUUAUUUUAUUUUUACACUUUUUAUAUUAGUUUUUUUUUUUAUUUUUGUUUUAUUAUUUUAAGUUAUUUCAUUGUUAUUCUUUUUUACGUUAGUUUUCUUUAGUUCUACUUUUAUCUUCUUUUACUUUAAUUUUUAUUUUUUAUUUAUUUAUUUAUUUUUUAUUUUAAAAGUCGUAGAAAACAAAACAAAAAUCUAAAAAAAAGGAAAAAGAAAAAGAAAAGAGAAAAAUACGAAAAAAAACUAGUCCACUAUGUUCUUUUUUGGAAUAGCAUACUGGCUUCUCUCCAUUAUCAGUUUACGCAAAUAGGCUUUCUAUACUGAAAGGCAUUUGAUCCUGCAACACACACUUCUACACGCAACAAAUUUUCGUCUUCUGGAAAAAGUUCCUCUGUACCUUGAUUUUCUGCUACUGACCAUACAUCAAAGGGGAAUGGCGUCGGCUUCGGCAGCGGCUCUGGCAGGUGACUCCUGAUCCUUCUCGAGUUGAGUGACAAAACAAAGACGAAGAGAAAAAUUGGGACGAUACACCACUACAACAAGAGGACACAGUCACAACAGAGAAGCAGAAAAAAGGGCACAGGAAGAGAGGAUUGAGGUCUAGGAUCCAUCCCCACCUCACAGAGAACUCUCAAUUCCUGGGUUCACUCCCUUUAUUCACUCAACAGAAUCACACCCAACGGGAACCCCAUUCUUCCAUCACGCUCAUCACGAAAAUCCAUCAUCCCACCCAACUUCCACAUCAUCUUCCGACUAUCAAAAACCCCAAAGUCAUUUUUCACACACAAAAAACUUGAUUCCUCUGUAUCCCCCACAACAUCCAUUUUCUCACGCGCACAUAGAAACGCUUUCAUCAUUUCAUCUUUCACUCUCCCCUCAUCUCGCUCAACACCUGAAAAACAGAGAACAAGUAAGCCCUAAGUUUCAUCACCUCUUUUCUUAAGGUCAAAACAUAAAGUGCAAAAACAGGGGAGGAAUGGAGGGUUUGGAACGCUACAAAGAUGGGCGGUACUCCUGCCGUGAGUAACGUCGUCGAUGGUCUUGGCGAUGACCGGUGGCAGCACCCUUGGCCGAGCUUGAACAUUGUCAUGGUGGCUUGGUUUGGUGAAAGCAAAGUCUGGGUGGGAGCAGACGAAGAUGAUGGUCCGUGGAAGUGCUCUUAGCCGGUGAGGAAAGACAACUUUUCUAGCGCAAGCGACACCACCGACGGUGACUCUUAGCAGGCCAAGGAGAUGUACGGCGGCGCUAGCCUGGAACCAUGGAUCUGCCGUGGACAAUGAAGAAGCCCCUAAGCCCCUUUUGAUUCUACGCUGAAGAAGAGAACCCUAAAAGCUUUCUGAUUUGGGAAUAAAAAAGAGGCAUAAGGUUUGGACCAAACAGAUUUUGCGCCACCCCUGCAUUUCAUUGCUGCACUCCAAUCCUCGUGGGCACACACCCCUGGUUUUUUCAUCUUCUCACCUUUAUUUUUAUUGAGUUCUGUUGUUUGAAUUUUGUUUUAUGUUUUUGUUUUUACCUAGAUUUUUUUUACUGCAUGUGGCCCUAUAUGAUAACCCCACCCCUUUAUCUUAUGUUUUAUUUGGCUUUCAUUUACUGUAUUCUAACAUUCAGUGCAUACACUCAUUUUCCUAAUGAAAAUAUCCAAUAAAAAUUAUAAAAGAAUAAAUAAAAGACAAACAUUAAAAAAGUGAUUAAAAUUAUGAAAUUAAAAAAAUCGUUUUACGACGUCUCAUAGUAUCUUCGUUUGCAAAUAAAAAAUAAAUUCUGAUUUGUUAUAUAGAUUACGAAAU